This 348-nucleotide ribosomal RNA is filed under the name Patella rustica. RNAcentral describes it as "partial 16S ribosomal RNA". The stretch from base 1 to 196 matches the Rfam family "Archaeal large subunit ribosomal RNA", at positions 1908 to 2143 of the family's 2987-position model. Lineage: Eukaryota; Metazoa; Mollusca; Gastropoda; Patellidae. The record is from RNAcentral.
GGCUCUUUGUAAUAUAAAAAUAAAGAGUCCGGCCUGCUCAAUGAUGAUUUAUCAUUAAAUAGCUGCGGAAUCCUACCCGUGUGAAAGUAGCAUAAUCAUUUGCCUCUUAAUUGGUGGCUGGAAUGAAUGGUACGAUGAAAAUAGAGCUGUCUCUAAUAUGUUUUAUUGAAAUUACCUUUUAGGUGAAAAGGCCUAAAUAUAUCUAUAAGACAAGAAGACCCUAUCGAGCUUUAAGUAGGCUAUAUAUAAUAUUUAGUUAGCUUUUGGUUGGGGCAACCAGGGGGCAGAUUAAAUCCCUCUUUUAUUAUGUCACUUACUAGUGAAGAUCCAGUUAUAUUGAUCAUGGGA